CAGGAAGGCUGGUAAGGCUGAAAUAGAAUGUUCAAGAGAGUGAGAAGCACGCGAUCAUUCUUUCAAAUGUGAGAUCACAGGAGAGGGAACCAGACUGGCAUCUCCAAGGGACAAGGGAGCAGUGUCCACAAAAGUGCUGAGGGCAAUCCUCUCUGUCAAGAGUGAGGGCACAAUCUAGACAUUUCAGGCUCACAAGAACUCAAAUUUUCCCUAGAAAGCAAGCUUUCUUGGGACUUUCACACGGUGGUCUACUCCUGCAUGGCGAGGACAAGAAGAGGAUGCCAGGGGCUGACCCGGAAGACCGAGGAGGGCGCACAGCUGUGACAGCAGCGCACCUCCCCCUGGGAAGACUGCGCAGGCCACGGCAGGCUUGGAAGAGGGCUGCACCCACGUCUGUGACCUACACCACAGCUCACAGCAACGCUGGAUCCUUCACCCACUAAGUGAGGCCAGGGAUCCAACCCGAAACCUCACGGUUCCUAGUCAGACUCAUUUCCGCUGCGCCACGAUGGGAACUCCCACUCUGGUCAAUCUUGAUUCCUCCCCUCCCAAGGAGGAGCGCUCAGCCUCCUCUCCAGGACCAUUAGGCCCUGGGGGUUGUGAGGAAAAUCUCAAAAAUCCAGCUUGUUUUUUGUUCAUCCUUAUCCACGUGUUGACCUAAGGAAUUCAGGAUAUCUCAGAGAGCAAAAAUUUUCCAAAUAUGUCACUGUCUGACUAUUCUGAUGAGGCUGUAUAAAUACGGUGUUACCUUCGGACCCAAAUUUCCCUCCACAUGGAUGUCUUAAUGAAGGACCACCAGGAGGAGGCAAAGGCAUCAGGAACCCAUUCUGCAGAUGGAAGACCUCACGAUCUUCUCCAAGAUCCCCAGAGCCCAUGAACUCAUAUAAGUCGUCACGUAUCUGCAAGAGGAGGUCCCUGGCUCCCAGGGGUCCCUUCUCCAAAAGUGAAUAUUCUCUUUUUAUUCUUGUGGUGGAAGCAGCGUCCGCAUAGGACUUCUCUACUCUGAGUUUCUAGAAGCAAGAGAGUUGACCCACCUCAAUGUAGUCACAAGAUCUGUAGGAGAGUCCAUUACGGAUUGUGAGCUGGUACAUAGCAACAUUACAACAGCCAAAACAACCACCUCAAAUGCCCAUCAGUGCAUAAACAGAUAAACAACAUGAAUGCAGAAAAAGGAAUGAAGUACUGAUACGCUCCAACAUGGGUGAACUCUGAGGACAUUAUGCGAAGUCAAAGAAGCCAGACACAAAAGACCACAUAUUAUAUGAUUCCACCUAGAUGAAAUGUCCAGAGCAGGCCAAUUUCUAGAGUUAGAGAGUAGAUUAAUGGUUGCUUAGGGCUGGUGGGGACAGUUGGGAGAAAUGGUGCCAUGGCUGUUAAUGGGUAGGGGGGUUCUUUUUGGGGUGAAAAUGUUCUAAUAUUGAUUGUGGUGAUGGUUGCACAACUCGGUGAAUAUACUAAAAACCAUUGAAUUGCACACUUUAAAUAUGACUUGUAUACCAAUAAAGUUGUUAAAAAGAAUAGAUCUAGAAAAGAG
This 1534-nucleotide long non-coding RNA is filed under the name Sus scrofa (pig). RNAcentral describes it as "lncRNA (ENSSSCG00060078614.1)". Lineage: Eukaryota; Metazoa; Chordata; Mammalia; Artiodactyla; Suidae. The record is from RNAcentral.